UACGGAGGGUGCGAGCGUUGUCCGGAAUCACUGGGCGUAAAGGGCGCGUAGGCGGCGCGGGAAGUCAUCGGUGAAAGCUCAGGGCUCAACUCUGAGUCGGCCGGUGAUACUCUCGUGCUUGAGCACUGUAGAGGCAGGUGGAAUUCCGGGUGUAGCGGUGGAAUGCGUAGAGAUCCGGAAGAACACCGGUGGCGAAGGCGGCCUGCUGGGCAGUAGCUGACGCUGAUGCGCGACAGCGUGGGGAGCAAACGGG
Molecule: ribosomal RNA, 253 nt
Filed under: uncultured bacterium
Lineage: Bacteria
Description: partial 16S ribosomal RNA
Rfam family: Bacterial small subunit ribosomal RNA
Source: RNAcentral